RNAcentral lists this ribosomal RNA (372 nucleotides) under uncultured Glomeromycotina. Its description in RNAcentral is "eukaryotic LSU rRNA". The record is from RNAcentral. Lineage: Eukaryota; Fungi; Glomeromycota.
UUGAAAGGGAAACGAUUGAAGUCAGUCGUACCUGCGGGUAAUCAGCCUUUUGGGCAUGAUUCUGUGGAGCGUGAGGAGUUAAACGCCUUCAUGCCUGCAUAUUCGUGUACUUUGGGUGUACUUGCCUGUGUGGUUAGUUAACAUCAAUUUUGGUUAUCAUAAAAUGGUUGGAGGAAUGUAGCUUCGAUUUCGAUUGAAGUGUUAUAGUCUUCGGCAGAUGUGAUGAUCGGGAUUGAGGAUUGCAUCGGAUACCCUUCGGGGCUACCUGUCUGGUCUCUGAUCGUUGCUCUGGUGCCGAAAGCGUGCUUACGGUUAUCAAAGUCGAUGGUCAAUAGGUUAGAACGGGUUAAAUUCGUUAAGGAUGUUGACGUA